RNAcentral lists this ribosomal RNA (253 nucleotides) under uncultured bacterium. RNAcentral's name for it is "partial 16S ribosomal RNA". It matches the Rfam family "Bacterial small subunit ribosomal RNA", at positions 524 to 776 of the family's 1533-position model. The record is from RNAcentral.
UACGGAGGAUGCAAGCGUUAUCCGGAUUCACUGGGUUUAAAGGGUGCGUAGGUGGGGAGGUAAGUCAGCGGUGAAAUCCCCGAGCUUAACUUGGGAACUGCCAUUGAUACUAUCUCUCUUGAAUACCUUGGAGGUGAGCGGAAUAUGUCAUGUAGCGGUGAAAUGCUUAGAUAUGACAUAGAACACCCAUUGCGAAGGCAGCUCACUACACGGUCAUUGACACUGAGGCACGAAAGCGUGGGGAUCAAACAGG